This is a long non-coding RNA of Cyprinus carpio (common carp), 4729 nucleotides long. Lineage: Eukaryota; Metazoa; Chordata; Actinopteri; Cypriniformes; Cyprinidae. The record is from Ensembl.
UAUGCCUAUGAAAGACGAUCAAACCAAUCAGAGUAGGCGUGGGGCGGGCCCCGCCUCGAUCUGCAGGCUGCAGCCAGGUGUACUUGUUGUCAUGUCCAGUAGUGAUGAGCAUCUGAUCGUCUUCAGAGACACAAAGAUCUCAGUGUUGAGCUGUUCAUCUGCAGUAUGUCAGAGAAGAGAGGAAAGAUGAGUCUCUCACAGAAACAGAGUGUAAGAUCAGGAUCACAUGUGUCUGUGAAGAGUGACUGCUCAAAGGAUGAUCCACUAAACUUCAGUGAAGAAACAGCAUCACAAACCAAACAGUAUUUGAUGUGUUUCUUAUUUUUAUUUAAACAUAGACUGUGUCAGAAAGUGUAUCAGUGAAUAAUUAUCAUAAAACUUAUAGUCCAUAAAUGUAUCACUUAUUUAUUGUUUUUCUCUUUGCUAAAAUGUUUACAGUAUAUUUUGGUAAUAUUUUUUCAUCAAAAUGCAGUAUUUUGAUUUAUUUUAUUUACUAUCAGGGUUCAGUAUGAAACAUUAGAUCCAGAUUUACAGUCUCACGGGAACCGAAAGAGUUUUACAGACAGUCUUCUGCAGAUCUUCCAGGUAAUAAAACACAUUUUCAAGAAUAUUUAAUAAUUAUAAUAAACAAAUUUUAUUGAAUAAGAGUGUGACAGAACUUUUAUUUCAAAUUUUUUCUUAAGAACCCAUAAAAUAAAAAUGAGAACCUAUUUUUAUUUAUAUUUACAGCUAAUUAACGUUUGUCUCAACUUGAUUUUUGAUGAAUAUUUUUUAUUACUGAAUACAUUAUUUUUACCAAAUAUAGAUGGUGAUUUUUUUUUCUGUCAUUCAUUCUUGCCUUUCUUUGUAGGAUCUUGAGAGCAAAAUAAUCAAAUUUCUGAAGAAAGAACUGGAGGAGUUUAAGAAAAUAUUACAAAAAGAGGACAUUCAAAACUUUGUGAAGGACUUUAAUGAGAACAGAUGCAGAAUGAAAGAAGCAGCUCUUGAUCUCACGCUCAACUUCCUGAGAGAGAUGAAGCAAGAUGAAGCUGCUGAUACUCUAGAAGAUGAGCUGAUCUUCAUUCAUCAGCUAAAGUGUAGCCUAAAGAAGAAGUAUCAAUGUGUGUUUGAAGGAAUUGCAAAGCAAGGUGACUCUACACUUCUGAAGAACAUCUACACAGAUCUCUAUAUCACUCAGGGUUGUAGUGAACAGGUCAAUACUGAACAUGAGGUGAGACAGAUUGAAGUUGCUUCCAGACGUCAUGAAUCACAGGAGAUACAGGUUGAGUGCAAACAUUUGUUUGAAGCACCUGAACAAGACAAGCAGAUCAGAACUGUACUGACAAAAGGAGUUGCUGGCAUCGGAAAAUCAGUCUCUGUGCAGAAGUUUGUUCUGGAUUGGGCCGAAGGAAAAGAAAAUCAAGAUAUCAGCUUCAUAUUUCCUCUUCCAUUUAGAGAGAUGAACUUAAAGGAGCAAGAAAAACUAAGUUUGAUGGACCUUAUAACUCAGUUUUUCCCAGAGACAAAAGGACUGAAGCUUACAAGAAGAAAUCAAUUCAAAGUCUUGUUCAUUCUUGAUGGAUUGGAUGAAUGUCGACUUCCUGUAAACUUUAAGGAUAAUGAGACGUGGUCUGAUGUUUCAUCACCAGCCUCUCUGGAUGUUCUCCUGACGAACCUCAUCAAGGGAAAUCUGCUUCCUUCUGCUCUCAUCUGGAUCACCAGCAGACCAGCAGCUGCCAGUAAGAUUCCUCCUGACUGUAUCGACCGGCUGACAGAGAUACGAGGAUUCAAUGAUGCACAAAAGGAGGAGUACUUCAGAAAAAGAUUCACGGAUGAGAAUCAGGCCAAAGAAAUCAUUGAUCAUGUUAAACAAUCAAAGAGUCUCUUUAUCAUGUGCCACAUCCCAGUCUUCUGCUGGAUUUCAGCCACUGUUCUCCAGAACAUUUUAGAGGAGAAAAGAAAUAAUGUUGUGAAAAACAAUCAGGCUGAUGAUGCCUCCAAAACACUGCAGGAGUCAAAUACUGAAGACACUCCUAAGACUCUGACACAAAUGUACACACACUUCCUCAGAUUUCAGAUCCAGCAGAGCAGACGAAAGUAUGAUGGAGAACAUACACCAGAUGUUUCCUGGGAUAAAGAUGCCAUCUUUUCACUGGGGAAACUGGCAUUUGAUCAGCUGGAAAGAAACAAUGUGAUCUUCUAUGACACAGAUCUGGAAGCCUGUGGUAUUGACGUCUAUAAGGCAUCAGUGUACUCAGGCAUGUGUACCCAGAUCUUUAAGGAGGAAACAGGGAUCGUUCUUGGUACCAUGUACUGCUUCGUUCACUUGAGCAUUCAAGAGUUUAUUGCAGCCCUUUAUGCACAUCUGUUUCUAGACAUCAACAAGAAGUAUGUGUUUGAUCAAGACUCUACAGAACAGGAAAACAAAAGUGAAAACAUGAUUGAUUUGCUCAAGACUGCAGUGGACAAGGCACUAGAGAGUGAUAAUGGACACCUGGAUCUUUUUCUUCGAUUCCUCCUUGGUUUGUCACUCCAGUCCAAUCAGAGACUCUUACAGGGUCUGUUGACACAGAAAAAUAGAAAUGAUCAGAGCAAAAAGGAAAUAGUUCAGUACAUCAAGCAGAAAUUAGAAUCUAAUCUGUCUCCAGAGAGAUCCAUCAAUCUGUUCUACUGUCUGAAUGAACUGAACGACCAAACUCUGGUGAAAGACAUUCAGACCCACCUUAGCAAAGGAAGUCUCUCAUCUGCUGAUCUUUCACCUGCCCAGUGGUCUGCUUUGGUCUUUGUGUUGUUGACAUCAGAGGAGGAGCUGGAGGAGUUUGAGCUUCAGAAAUUCAAGAAAUCAGACGAGUGUCUCAUUAGAUUAUCGGCAGUCAUCAAAACCUCCAAAAGAGCUCUGUAAGUUAUUGUUCUUUGUUAAUGUUUUGUUCUCAUCUUAAAAUUGCAUUAAUCUACAUUGAUACAUAGCAGGUUUGGACACCUCUGAUCUUUAGUGAUUUAUUAACCAUAUACCGAUUAUAAGUAUAUAUGUUUUUUUAGGGUUAAGAGGAGACACUGCAGGCAAAAACAGAGUUUUUUCAUGCACCUGUCAAUAUUUAGAUUUUGGGCUUUUUGUGUUUUUUCAGACUUAUGGAAAGAAAACCUCCAAAAGUCACUGUUAAGUGUUUCUUUUAUAGCACUUUAUCUAUUUGUGUCAAUAGAUUUCAAUUACAAUACAUAUUUUUAAAGGCCGUUUUCUCAAAAUGAGUUUUUUCUCCUACUCUGAGCCAUAAAUCUCCAAUUCAGUGACACUUACACACACCGAACUUUACAUAUUUAUUCUUGUCUAUAUUCUAAAGGUUUUUACAGAGGGAUUUGUUCAUCUAAAAUUUUCUUGAUUAUAUACAACAUUUUAUUCUCCAAAAAAUGGUGAAAAUGUAUUGUUUUCUAGCUGUUCAAAGUAUUUUCUGAAUUAUGGAGUGACAAAAAGAGAUUCCCAGAAUUCCUUCUGUAAAAAUAUUUUACACUAAUAUGUCAAAAAAAUUAAACAAGAAUUUUGAAACUGACUUCAUCCAGUGUUCAGAUUUUUGUACUACAAAUUUAUGCAAAUUAGCGCAUAUUUCAUUAAAUAAUGGAUCAGUUGCAUAUUUAAAUAUAACAUUUUAGAAAACUUGUAAUACAAAAAAUGUUUGCAAUUAUCAAUGUAAUCAAUCAACUUGGUAAGUAAGGUGAUAACUAUUAGUUAAUUUUUUUACCCUAUUCACCUGCAGUGUCUUGCCUUAAAUAACACACAUUGUUUAACUUUAUUAUUAUUUUUUUAUAAUGGAGCAGAUGUUACUACACAGAGCCGUUGUUAACUGACAAGCUGCGCAAAUCCACGUUCAUUAUCAGCUUGGAUUUGCGCAACUUGUCAGUUAACUACGGCUCCGUGUAGUAACAGCUGCUCUAUGUGAAAUCACGCACCUGAUGGAAAUUACCGAUGAUUAAGAUAACCGGCUUUACUGACUAGAUGCGCAUUAAUCAUCGGCCUAUAUAUAUCUUGCACCCCUAACAUUGUUCCAUAGUUAUUUCUACUCCAAUAUGCAGUUCAACUUCUUAGACUUCUGCUAUAAAGAAGAUAUACACUUGCAUAACCUUAAUGCAUAAAUUAUUAACCUCCAGAUUCUCCACCUCAAGACACUCCUCAAGAUAAUAGAGCAGCACUUUUAAAUAUAUAACUCAUUGCCAUUAAUGAUAUAAGCCUAUUAUUAAUUUACAUAUUUUAUUAAGUUUAAUACAAGCAUACUAGUAUCAGUCUCUGGUUCAUGUUUUGUGUGUUUUUUACUCCUCCCGUGUCUUUAUUGCCCUUAUUUGGUCCUUCCUGUUCGUGUCCUUGUUUGAGUUUAUUUGUAUCCAGCCGUGUGUAUUAUUUAUUCCCAGGUGUUUCCCAUUGGUGUCCGUGUAUUUUAUAGUGAGUUCUGCGUCAGUUCUUUGUAAGCCAUCAAACGUCAUUCUUCAGUCAAGGCUGUCGGCCGUGGCUCUCUCUGGCGUGACGGUUGUGCCAAAGAAAAGCCUACCAGCUGCCCAGAAGCCAAGUCUGCCUGUCGUUCCCGAGUCAAGCUGGCCGGCCGUUCAUGUACCAAGCCCGCCAGUCGUUCAGCACUCUAGUUCGCCAACCAUGCCCUUACCAUGAGUAAAACUAGGGAGGAGGAGAAGGGUGUUGUCUCCAGCCCCAGAACUCGCUCUAGUGUGAUCCCCAGCCUUUGUUAAUAAAACCAUUUUGAUUUAUUCA